RNAcentral lists this ribosomal RNA (794 nucleotides) under Burkholderia gladioli. RNAcentral's name for it is "bacterial SSU rRNA". It matches the Rfam family "Bacterial small subunit ribosomal RNA", at positions 54 to 842 of the family's 1533-position model. The record is from RNAcentral. Lineage: Bacteria; Pseudomonadati; Pseudomonadota; Betaproteobacteria; Burkholderiales; Burkholderiaceae.
CAUGCAAGUCGAACGGCAGCACGGGUGCUUGCACCUGGUGGCGAGUGGCGAACGGGUGAGUAAUACAUCGGAACAUGUCCUGUAGUGGGGGAUAGCCCGGCGAAAGCCGGAUUAAUACCGCAUACGAUCCACGGAUGAAAGCGGGGGACCUUCGGGCCUCGCGCUAUAGGGUUGGCCGAUGGCUGAUUAGCUAGUUGGUGGGGUAAAGGCCCACCAAGGCGACGAUCAGUAGCUGGUCUGAGAGGACGACCAGCCACACUGGGACUGAGACACGGCCCAGACUCCUACGGGAGGCAGCAGUGGGGAAUUUUGGACAAUGGGCGAAAGCCUGAUCCAGCAAUGCCGCGUGUGUGAAGAAGGCCUUCGGGUUGUAAAGCACUUUUGUCCGGAAAGAAAUCCUGAGGGCUAAUAUCCUUCGGGGAUGACGGUACCGGAAGAAUAAGCACCGGCUAACUACGUGCCAGCAGCCGCGGUAAUACGUANGGUGCGAGCGUUAAUCGGAAUUACUGGGCGUAAAGCGUGCGCAGGCGGUUUGUUAAAACCGAUGUGAAAUCCCCGGGCUCAACCUGGGAACUGCAUUGGUGACUGGCAAGCUAGAGUAUGGCAUAGGGGGGUAGAAUUCCACCUGUAACAGUGAAAUGCGUAGAGAUGUGGAGGAAUACCGAUGGCGAAGGCAGCCCCCUGGGCCAAUACUGACGCUCAUGCACGAAAGCCUGGGGAGCAAACAGGAUUACAUACCCUGGUAGUCCCCCCCCUAAACGAUGUCAACUAGUUGUUGGGGAUUCAUUUCCUUA